UGAGCAAUCUGCCCUUCUCAUCGGAAUAAGCGUUGGAAACGACGUCUAAUGCCGAAUACGACCUCCUUUCGCAUGAUCGGAGGUGGAAAGCUCCGGCGGAGAAGGAUGAGCUCGCGGCAUAUCAGCUUGUUGGCGGGGUGACGGCCCACCAAGGCGACGACGGGUAGCCGGCCUGAGAGGGUGAACGGCCACACUGGGACUGAGACACGGCCCAGACUCCUACGGGAGCAG
This 231-nucleotide ribosomal RNA is filed under the name uncultured bacterium. Its description in RNAcentral is "partial 16S ribosomal RNA". It matches the Rfam family "Bacterial small subunit ribosomal RNA", at positions 118 to 347 of the family's 1533-position model. The record is from RNAcentral.